CCUGGGCAGCGGAUCCGUCCUCGCUGUCACCUCCUGGCAGGGGCGCUGCUGCCACAUCCAGGUGAGUGCCACCGGCCUGUGGCAGUGUCACUGCUGCCACAUCCAGGUGAGUGCCACCGGCCUGUGGCAGUGUCACUGCUGCCACAUCCAGGUGAGUGCCACCAGCCUGUGGCAGUGUCACUGCUGCCACAUCCAGGUGAGUGCCACCGGCUCCUGGCAAUGCUGCCAUGUCCAGGUGAGUGCCACCAGUUCCCAGGGACACAGGGCUGGGUGUGGCCCCAGCUAAGCCCGGCUCCAAGCCGAGCUAACACCGGGUUUAAAGCCCCAGGCAGGGAGGAGGAGGUAGCAGCAGGACGCCCCGGCCCCCGGGAGCUGCCGGGGGCUGCUGCCAGCGGAUCUAACGCCGUGCCCUGUCCCCCUGUCCCCAGCUGCGCCCCCUGUUCCUCCUGGCCCUGGCAGAUUUCCUGGGUGCCGCGGCGCUGCUGGGCACGGGAACCGUCCCGCUGCUGCCGGCCUCCCUCUCCGUGCCCGCCUACGCCGCCUGUCCCUACGGGCGGAUGCUGACCACGGUACGGGGACACUGCUGGGGACAGCCGGGCCCUGCCUGCGGCUGCAGCUCGCACCGCACCGUCCUCGGGGGGCGAGCGCGGCCCCCGGCAGCGCUGCAGGAGCGGAGCCGCUGCCUGGAGAGCGCCUGGCGGGGAAUUCCGUACGUCCUGGCCUGGUGGGUGCCCGCCGCCGGCCCCGCCCGGGACUCUCCCGUCCCUUCCCGGUACCGGUACCGGCCCCGCCCGGGACUCUCCCGUCCCUUCCCGGUACCGGUACCGGCCCCGCCCGGGGCUCUCCCGUCCCUUCCCGGUACCGGUACCGGCCCCGCCCGGGGCUCUCCCGUCCCUUCCCGGUGCCGGUGCCGGCCCGGGGCUCUCCCGUCCCUUCCCGAGGCCGGUACCGGUGCCGGCCCGGGGCUCUCAGCCGUCCCUUCCCGGUACCGGUGCCAGCCCGGGGCUCUCACCCGUCCCUUCCCAAGGCCGGUACCGGCCCGGGGCUCUCAGCCGUCCCUUCCCAAGGCUGGUGCCGGUACCGGUACCGGCCCGGGGCUCUCAGCCGUCCCUUCCCAAGGCCGGUACCGGUACCGGUACCGGUGCCGGUCCAGGGCUCUCACCCGUCCCUUCCCGAGGCUGGUGCCGGUACCGGUGCCGGCCCGGGACUCUCACCCGUCCCUUCCCGAGGCCGGUGCCGGUACCGGUACCGGCCCGGGACUCUCAGCCGUCCCUUCCCAAGGCUGGUACCGGCGCUGACUCUCCUGGCUCAGCUGCUCUCCCGCGGCACCUCCGCCGCCGCCAUCGCGCCCGUGGUGCCCCGGCCCGGCUCCAACGACACCUUCAGCCUUUACUGCUCCAGGUACGGCCCCUCCGCCCCCGCCCCGCCCGGGGCAUCGCCGCGGGACCCCGGGGGAGGCUCUGGGAGCUCCAGCACCGCUCUGUCCUUGCAGCUGCCUCCUCCUGAUCCGCCCGAGCCAGGACAUUUGCUCCCAGGUGGGCGCUGCUCCCGGGGGGCUCCGGGGCCGCGGGGGUCGCUGGCCCGGCCCCGCUCAUCUCCCGUUGUCUCCCAGUCCGGCGGGGGCAGGAACGCGGGGCUGGAGGAGAAAAUCAUCCUCCUGCUGUACCUGCUGCUGGUGCUCGGCUGCUGCUCGGUGAGGCCGCGGCUCGGAGGGCGGCACUGGGGGUCCCCAGCGCCCCGCUGAGCCCCGGACCCCCCCAGCUCCUGUACCGGCGGGUGCGGCUCCGGUGCCGGCGGAACGCGGCGCUGCCGCUGCUGAGCCUGGACAGGGACGGCGGCCUCGGGGGCAGGAGCGGCCGCAGCGUCAGCAAAGCCUCGCUGCACUUCCAGCUGGUUUUCCUGCUCUGCUGGACGCCAGGCAAGGCCAGGGGGGUGUCCCAAAGCCCCGCAGGGUCACACUGAGGGUGUCCCCAGCUCCCCCAGGGUCACACUGAGGUG
RNAcentral lists this long non-coding RNA (1998 nucleotides) under Taeniopygia guttata (zebra finch). Its description in RNAcentral is "lncRNA (ENSTGUG00000025599.1)". Lineage: Eukaryota; Metazoa; Chordata; Aves; Passeriformes; Estrildidae. The record is from RNAcentral.